GAUGAACGCUAGCGGCGUGCCUAAUACAUGCAAGUCGAACGAGGUGCUUGAGUAGCAAUACAAGAGUAUCCUAGUGGCGAACGGGUGAGUAACGCGUGGGUGACCUGCCCCGAAGUGUGGGAUAACAGUCCGAAAGGAUUGCUAAUACCUCAUGUGGUUAUCGGAUUUAGAAACUGAUAACUAAAGCAGCAAUGCGCUUUGGGAGGGACCUGCGUCCCAUCAGCUAGUUGGUGAGGUAAUGGCUCACCAAGGCUACGACGGGUAGGGGACCUGAGAGGGUGGCCCCCCACAAUGGAACUGAAACACGGUCCAUACACCUACGGGUGGCAGCAGUAGGGAAUAUUGCACAAUGGGCGAAAGCCUGAUGCAGCAACGCCGCGUGUGCGAUGAAGGCCUUCGGGUCGUAAAGCACUUUUCUGAGAGAUGAGAAAGGACAGUACCUCAGGAAUAAGGUCUCGGCGUAACUACGUGCCAGCAGCCGCGGUAAAGUGUAG
Molecule: ribosomal RNA, 494 nt
Filed under: uncultured bacterium
Lineage: Bacteria
Description: bacterial SSU rRNA
Rfam family: Bacterial small subunit ribosomal RNA
Source: RNAcentral